GGGCAGAUGGGAAAGUAGUUAGCCACAGUUGGGACAGUAGUUACCGGCAGUAGGGACAGUUGGGACAGUAGUUGGCGACAGUUGUCACAGUAGUUAGGGGCAGUUGAGACAGUCGUUAGCGGAAGUUGGGACAGUAGUUAGUGACAGUUGUUAGGGGCAGUUGGCACAGUAGGUAGGGCAGUUGGGACAGUAGUUAACAGCAGUAGUGGCAGUUGGGAGACUAGUUAGGGGCAGUUGGGACAGUAGUUAGCGGCAGUUGGGACAGUAGUUAGGGGCGGGUCGGACAGUACUUAGCGACAGUUGGGACAGUAGUAAGCGUCAGUUGGGACAGUAGUAAGCGUCAGUUGGGGCAGUUGGGACAGUAGUUAGGGGCAGUUGGGACAGUAGUUAGUUGCAGUUGGGACAGUAGCAAGCGGAAGAUGGACAGUAGUUGGGACAGCAGUUAGCGGCUGUCGGCACAGUAGUUAGGGGCAGUUCAGACAGUCAUUAGCAGCAGUUGUGACAGUAGUUAGGGCCAGUUGGGACAGUACUUAGGGGCAUUUGAGACAGUACUUAGCGACAGUUGGGACAAUAGUUAGGGGCAGUUGGGACAGUAGUUACUGGCAGGUGGGAUAGUAGUUACCGACAGCUGCGGCAGUAGUUAGGGGUAGUUGGGACAGUAGUUAGCGGCAUUUGGGACAAUAGUUAGGAGCAGUUGGGACAGUAGUUACUGGCAGCUGCGGCAGUAGUUAGGGGUAGUUGGGACAGUGGUUAGCGGCAGUUGGGACUGUAGUUAGGGACAGUUGGGACAGUUGUUAGGGACAGUUGUAAGCAGUAUUUAGCUGUAGUUAGUUGUAAAACAGUAGUUAGCGGCAGUUGCGGCAGUUGGGACAGUAGUUAGGGUCAGUUGGGACAGUAGUUAGCGACAGUUGGGACAGUAGCUUGGGGCACUUGGGACAGUAGUUAGGG
Long non-coding RNA from Ictalurus punctatus (channel catfish), 948 nucleotides. NCBI's taxonomy places the organism in Eukaryota, Metazoa, Chordata, Actinopteri, Siluriformes, Ictaluridae. The record is from Ensembl.